UGUGCAUUUCCACUUCUCUUACUUCCCAUUCCUCUGGCUUGCUUUAUGUAUCUAGAUGCAUGAUUCUGGCCUGGAAGCAGUUCAGUCAGCUGAGCCACUCAAAGGGCCUGGGCACACUUGUGUCUUUCCUUCCUGCCUCAGUUUCUACAGAGAUGUGCAGAAGCCCUGUGGAGUUCCUGAGGAAUCCUGCAGCUGCUGGGGCCUUGAGGAGAUGGGCAGUGUGUCUCCCAGUCCUUGAGGCGGCUGGAAAGGCAGCAGAGCAGCUGAGGCUCCAGAGAAGCCCGUCAGAGAAACACCCUGAGAAUGGCUGCAGUUUUCCUGUUUCUCUUGAGCCCCGGAGGAUUUCAAAGUCUCUUUCAAAAUGAAGAAUGGAUCUUUGGAGAUUGCAAAGUACUAGACGCCCACUGUGGGAAACGUUGCUUUUCCUACCCACCAUCCAUACUCCUUUUUCCGAAUUCCUUUAAACAGCUCACAGUCAAGCAGAGAGACUGGUGUGAGUGCAAAGAAAUAUGGCAGGCACUGUGAGGAGAGUCUACUUUUGCCUGCCUGGGAAGACCCAAGGAAGAAGUGGCCAGUUGCUGUCUUAGCAGGAUGAAGAAAGAUCUCAUGGAAGAGGUGAUGCUAGAACUGUAUCUUCAAAGAUGAACAGAGGUUUUCAGCUAAAAAAAGUGUAGGAAAGACAGACCAGCCCAGCCUAGGAGAGAAAUGUCAACUGUGGACUAUUACCUGUCUUAAAAAUCUAUUACCUGCAGUAUGGAGAAGGCAGUUCAAUCUUGUAUGAUUAGCACAUGCCUGACUGGUAUGCUAUGCUGUCUAGAACAUAGAAACUUGUCGUCACACUUGUCGCCUCCUUCCUCCCUUCCCCAAAUUCAUAAAAUACUAUAAAAUUUUCUUGCUGGUAAGCAAGGCCAUAUAGAUGUUAGAGUUAAGUGUGGUGGGUAGACUCAGUAUUCCAUGUGUAAUCACCAGCUUGGGGGCUGUGAGUCAGUGGUGGGGAGACAGCAGCAUCAACAGCAGCACCAUCUGCCCUCCUUCUGGAUCAAAGUUAGAAUUGUACACCCUCGAAAUAAGUUGUCCAGUGGUGGCCCCCUGUCUUCCUCUUCAGCUCUUCCAAUAGUUUUGUAAGCUCCCCACUCCUUAUACUGAAUCCCUUUUGGCUGGAAAUACCUAGAGCAGGUCCUGGUGUCUGCACUGAAUUCUGACUGAUACGAUUCCCCACUGUGAGGUCUAGAAGGGCCAAGAGCUGUUUGUCUUGUUCUUCACUGCAUCCCCAGUACCAAGCAC
Molecule: long non-coding RNA, 1284 nt
Filed under: Equus caballus (horse)
Lineage: Eukaryota; Metazoa; Chordata; Mammalia; Perissodactyla; Equidae
Description: lncRNA (ENSECAG00000033820.3)
Source: RNAcentral